ACGUAGACACACACUGUACAAUGGAUUUCUCGGCUCCCACAUCGAUGAAGAACGCAGCAAAGCGCGAUAGGUAGUGUGAAUUGCAGAAUACCGUGAAUCAUCGAAUUUUUGAACGCAUAUUGCGCCCGGGUUUGAGCCUGGGCAUGUCUGCCUCAGC
This 157-nucleotide ribosomal RNA is filed under the name Boodlea sp. 9 FL-2009. RNAcentral describes it as "5.8S ribosomal RNA". It matches the Rfam family "5.8S ribosomal RNA". From Rfam's summary of the family: 5.8S ribosomal RNA (5.8S rRNA) is a component of the large subunit of the eukaryotic ribosome. It is transcribed by RNA polymerase I as part of the 45S precursor that also contains 18S and 28S rRNA. The record is from RNAcentral. Lineage: Eukaryota; Viridiplantae; Chlorophyta; Ulvophyceae; Cladophorales; Boodleaceae.